This 503-nucleotide ribosomal RNA is filed under the name uncultured bacterium. RNAcentral describes it as "partial 16S ribosomal RNA". It matches the Rfam family "Bacterial small subunit ribosomal RNA", at positions 30 to 523 of the family's 1533-position model. The record is from RNAcentral.
AUUGAACGCUGGCGGCAGGCAUAACACAUGCAAGUCGAGCGGAGUGAUGGUGCUUGCACUAUCACUUAGCGGCGGACGGGUGAGUAAUGCUUAGGAAUCUGCCUAUUAGUGGGGGACAACAUCUCGAAAGGGAUGCUAAUACCGCAUACGUCCUACGGGAGAAAGCAGGGGAUCACUUGUGACCUUGCGCUAAUAGAUGAGCCUAAGUCGGAUUAGCUAGUUGGUGGGGUAAAGUCCUACCAAGGCGACGAUCUGUAGCGGGUCUGAGAGGACGGUCCGACACACUGGGACUGAGACACGGCCCAGGCUCCUACGGGAGGCAGCAGUGGGGAAUAUUGGACAAUGGGGGGAACCCUGAUCCAGCCAUGCCGCGUGUGUGAAGAAGGCCUUAUGGUUGUAAAGCACUUUAAGCGAGGAGGAGGCUCUUUUGGUUAAUACCCAAGAUGAGUGGACGUUACUCGCAGAAUAAGCACCGGCUAACUCUGUGCCAGCCGCCGCGGUAA